AUUGAACGCUGGCGGCAUGCUUUACACAUGCAAGUCGAACGGUAACAGGUUAAGCUGACGAGUGGCGAACGGGUGAGUAAUGCAUCGGAACGUGCCCGGUCGUGGGGGAUAACGCAGCGAAAGCUGCGCUAAUACCGCAUACGAUCUAAGGAUGAAAGCGGGGGACCGUAAGGCCUCGCGCGAUCGGAGCGGCCGAUGUCAGAUUAGGUAGUUGGUGGGGUAAAGGCUCACCAAGCCAACGAUCUGUAGCUGGUCUGAGAGGACGACCAGCCACACUGGGACGGAGACACGGCCCAGACUCCUACGGGAGGCAGCAGUGGGGAAUUUUGGACAAUGGGCGAAAGCCUGAUCCAGCAAUGCCGCGUGCAGGAAGAAGGCCUUCGGGUUGUAAACUGCUUUUGUACGGAGCGAAAAGGUCUCCUCUAGUACAGGGGGCUCAUGACGGUACCGUAAGAAUAAGCACCGGCUAACUACGUGCCAGCCGCCGCCGUAA
This 493-nucleotide ribosomal RNA is filed under the name uncultured bacterium. RNAcentral describes it as "partial 16S ribosomal RNA". It matches the Rfam family "Bacterial small subunit ribosomal RNA", at positions 29 to 523 of the family's 1533-position model. The record is from RNAcentral.